UGGAUCAAUGAAGACCACUCAUGAUGUAUGAUUCAGGGAUCAUGACUACAGUCUAGGAGUCUGAGGGUCAC
Mesocricetus auratus (golden hamster) is the source of this 71-nucleotide small nucleolar RNA. NCBI's taxonomy places the organism in Eukaryota, Metazoa, Chordata, Mammalia, Rodentia, Cricetidae. The record is from Ensembl.